CUGGCACACAAGGAAUUUGGUUCCAGCAGUUUGUGACUCUCAAAGAUCCCAUGGAAAGUUUCUGGAAAUUUACCAGAAAUCUUCCACCCCUUUUGCAACCCUAAAGAGGAGCCAUGUAAACAUACUGAUUGGGAUCAGCUCCAUGCUGAAGAAGCAGCUCGACCACAUCGGUGAAGCCUAGCAGGGACGAGCAGAAAAGACAUGUCUGGCCCAGAUGAUUCACGCAGUCCACAUUCACACCUGAACAGAGAACAGGUUUUGCUCCCGGGUGAACCGGUGCAGUUGAGCCGCCACACGUCCUUUUUUGACAGCCCAAAGGUACCGGACAGGGCACAAAGAUCACAGCUGACAUCUUCACACGGCUCUGAGAGGAAGAUAUUAACAGUCUACUUCAC
This is a long non-coding RNA of Tachysurus fulvidraco (yellow catfish), 395 nucleotides long. RefSeq lists it as uncharacterized. The transcript has 3 exons. Lineage: Eukaryota; Metazoa; Chordata; Actinopteri; Siluriformes; Bagridae. The record is from RefSeq and is a predicted model, not a curated record.